AGAAAUGCAGUGAUAAGGAGGAGUACAUAAUUUCCGGAUGCCAAGAGAGAAGGCGGCAGGUGGGAGCCUUCGUGAAGGAAUUAUGGAAGUAGCCUUUGAGCAGUGGACCGAACAGGUGAGGACCCCAGUAAGCUCCAACGUGAUUCCUACGUUACAGGGAAGCAGUAUCGGACAACAGUUCCCGUACUGGCAGAGUGCAGAGAAGAUUCUCUGAAUUUAGGUGGUAACACGGAUUGGAUAUUCGCCCUAAGC
RNAcentral lists this non-coding RNA (252 nucleotides) under Clostridium sp. Its description in RNAcentral is "T-box sequence". It matches the Rfam family "T-box leader". From Rfam's summary of the family: Uncharged tRNA acts as the effector for transcription antitermination of genes in the T-box leader family. T-boxes are found upstream of many aminoacyl-tRNA synthetase genes and some amino acid biosynthetic genes usually in Gram-positive bacteria. The record is from RNAcentral. Lineage: Bacteria; Bacillati; Bacillota; Clostridia; Eubacteriales; Clostridiaceae.